Molecule: non-coding RNA, 812 nt
Organism: Pantherophis guttatus
Lineage: Eukaryota; Metazoa; Chordata; Lepidosauria; Squamata; Colubridae
Source: RefSeq, a predicted model, not a curated record
GCCUCUUCCUUCUCCGCCAUUUACGAAAAAUGCCGGUUACAUUUCCCUCCUUCCCUUGCUUCCGUCUGCAAAAGCCGGGUUAUUAUUUACAUAUCCGGUCACGCCCCUUCACUCGCCGCCAAUAAGCAAUAAGGGGAGGUUUUGGAAUGAAAAAUUACAAGCCCCUCCCUCUUUAUUGCUAUCUGAGGGAGAUAUUUUCUUGCGGCACAUUUAUACGAGCUCUAGCACGAGUACCCUACGCAUGCGUGUUUUUCCUUUUGGAGACGCACUUAAAGAAAAGCCAAGUUUUCAACGUGCGAGGUUUACUGUUAGGGAUCUCGAGAUGCUGGGGAUUGGAAACAGAACACAAUGCUAGGUGUUCCUUGCAGCCUGCAUUUUCUUGCAAACUUGCUUUCUGCCCUCCUGUUACUCCAUUACUAUGUUUUCAACUGCAAGUUUAAUCUAUUUGAUAACAAAUCUUGAGUUAACCUUGCUUGUUCCCAGUGAGCUCCUUAUCUGUUUAUGAGAUAGCCUUGGAAAAUUUUGCAGCAACUCACAUCUUAUACCAACAGCCUUUCUCAUUACUUUUUUAAAUAAACAGUAUGCGGACGGACAGCAAAGAGUGCAGUAUGUCAGCAGAAUGCCUCUAGUCUGCCUCCUUACAGGUUUUUCAAUCCUGGCCUAUAUUUGCUGCAUUCCUGGAACAUCAAUGCUGGCUUUCAGCAAUUCUGACUUGAUAGAUACAGAAGGCAGGAGGCCCUUAUACUAUUUUAUGUUUGUAUUUAAUGACGAAUGUAGGCUUCUGCUGAUUAUUAAAGUUGAUGGUAGCAGUU